Molecule: ribosomal RNA, 1447 nt
Filed under: Faucicola osloensis
Lineage: Bacteria; Pseudomonadati; Pseudomonadota; Gammaproteobacteria; Moraxellales; Moraxellaceae
Description: bacterial SSU rRNA
Rfam family: Bacterial small subunit ribosomal RNA
Source: RNAcentral
CCCCCGUGGCGGGCCGGCUUAACACAUGCAAGUCGACGAUGACUAUCUAGCUUGCUAGAUAUAGAUUAGUGGCGGACGGGUGAGUAACAUUUAGGAAUCUGCCUAGUAGUGGGGGAUAGCUCGGGGAAACUCGAAUUAAUACCGCAUACGACCUACGGGUGAAAGGGGGCGCAAGCUCUUGCUAUUAGAUGAGCCUAAAUCAGAUUAGCUAGUUGGUGGGGUAAAGGCCCACCAAGGCGACGAUCUGUAACUGGUCUGAGAGGAUGAUCAGUCACACCGGAACUGAGACACGGUCCGGACUCCUACGGGAGGCAGCAGUGGGGAAUAUUGGACAAUGGGGGCAACCCUGAUCCAGCCAUGCCGCGUGUGUGAAGAAGGCCUUUUGGUUGUAAAGCACUUUAAGCAGGGAGGAGAGGCUAAUGGUUAAUACCCAUUAGAUUAGACGUUACCUGCAGAAUAAGCACCGGCUAACUCUGUGCCAGCAGCCGCGGUAAUACAGAGGGUGCGAGCGUUAAUCGGAAUUACUGGGCGUAAAGCGAGUGUAGGUGGCUCAUUAAGUCACAUGUGAAAUCCCCGGGCUUAACCUGGGAACUGCAUGUGAUACUGGUGGUGCUAGAAUAUGUGAGAGGGAAGUAGAAUUCCAGGUGUAGCGGUGAAAUGCGUAGAGAUCUGGAGGAAUACCGAUGGCGAAGGCAGCUUCCUGGCAUAAUAUUGACACUGAGAUUCGAAAGCGUGGGUAGCAAACAGGAUUAGAUACCCUGGUAGUCCACGCCGUAAACGAUGUCUACUAGCCGUUGGGGUCCUUGAGACUUUAGUGGCGCAGUUAACGCGAUAAGUAGACCGCCUGGGGAGUACGGCCGCAAGGUUAAAACUCAAAUGAAUUGACGGGGGCCCGCACAAGCGGUGGAGCAUGUGGUUUAAUUCGAUGCAACGCGAAGAACCUUACCUGGUCUUGACAUAGUGAGAAUCCUGCAGAGAUGCGGGAGUGCCUUCGGGAAUUCACAUACAGGUGCUGCAUGGCUGUCGUCAGCUCGUGUCGUGAGAUGUUGGGUUAAGUCCCGCAACGAGCGCAACCCUUUUCCUUAUUUGCCAGCGGGUUAAGCCGGGAACUUUAAGGAUACUGCCAGUGACAAACUGGAGGAAGGCGGGGACGACGUCAAGUCAUCAUGGCCCUUACGACCAGGGCUACACACGUGCUACAAUGGUAGGUACAGAGGGUUGCUACACAGCGAUGUGAUGCUAAUCUCAAAAAGCCUAUCGUAGUCCGGAUUGGAGUCUGCAACUCGACUCCAUGAAGUCGGAAUCGCUAGUAAUCGCAGAUCAGAAUGCUGCGGUGAAUACGUUCCCGGGCCUUGUACACACCGCCCGUCACACCAUGGGAGUCUAUUGCACCAGAAGUAGGUAGCCUAACGAAAGAGGGCGCUUACCACCGGUUUGUUCCAAUGGU